UGGGGAAUAUUGCACAAUGGGCGAAAGCCUGAUGCAGCGACGCCGCGUGAAGGAUGAAGUAUUUCGGUAUGUAAACUUCUAUCAGCAGGGAAGAAAAUGACGGUACCUGACUAAGAAGCCCCGGCUAACUACGUGCCAGCAGCCGCGGUAAUACGUAGGGGGCAAGCGUUAUCCGGAUUUACUGGGUGUAAAGGGAGCGUAGACGGCGAUGCAAGCCAGAUGUGAAAGCCCGGGGCUCAACCCCGGGACUGCAUUUGGAACUGUGUGGCUGGAGUGUCGGAGAGACAAGUGGAAUUCCUAGUGUAGCGGUGAAAUGCGUAGAUAUUAGGAGGAACACCAGUGGCGAAGGCGGCUUGCUGGACGAUGACUGACGUUGAGGCUCGAAAGCGUGGGGAGCAAACAGG
This 404-nucleotide ribosomal RNA is filed under the name uncultured bacterium. RNAcentral's name for it is "bacterial SSU rRNA". It matches the Rfam family "Bacterial small subunit ribosomal RNA", at positions 355 to 776 of the family's 1533-position model. The record is from RNAcentral.